Molecule: ribosomal RNA, 1136 nt
Filed under: Acinetobacter baumannii
Lineage: Bacteria; Pseudomonadati; Pseudomonadota; Gammaproteobacteria; Moraxellales; Moraxellaceae
Description: bacterial SSU rRNA
Rfam family: Bacterial small subunit ribosomal RNA
Source: RNAcentral
UUGAUCAUGGCUCAGAUUGAACGCUGGCGGCAGGCUUAACACAUGCAAGUCGAGCGGGGGAAGGUAGCUUGCUACUGGACCUAGCGGCGGACGGGUGAGUAAUGCUUAGGAAUCUGCCUAUUAGUGGGGGACAACAUCUCGAAAGGGAUGCUAAUACCGCAUACGUCCUACGGGAGAAAGCAGGGGAUCUUCGGACCUUGCGCUAAUAGAUGAGCCUAAGUCGGAUUAGCUAGUUGGUGGGGUAAAGGCCUACCAAGGCGACGAUCUGUAGCGGGUCUGAGAGGAUGAUCCGCCACACUGGGACUGAGACACGGCCCAGACUCCUACGGGAGGCAGCAGUGGGGAAUAUUGGACAAUGGGGGGAACCCUGAUCCAGCCAUGCCGCGUGUGUGAAGAAGGCCUUAUGGUUGUAAAGCACUUUAAGCGAGGAGGAGGCUACUUUAGUUAAUACCUAGAGAUAGUGGACGUUACUCGCAGAAUAAGCACCGGCUAACUCUGUGCCAGCAGCCGCGGUAAUACAGAGGGUGCGAGCGUUAAUCGGAUUUACUGGGCGUAAAGCGUGCGUAGGCGGCUUAUUAAGUCGGAUGUGAAAUCCCCGAGCUUAACUUGGGAAUUGCAUUCGAUACUGGUGAGCUAGAGUAUGGGAGAGGAUGGUAGAAUUCCAGGUGUAGCGGUGAAAUGCGUAGAGAUCUGGAGGAAUACCGAUGGCGAAGGCAGCCAUCUGGCCUAAUACUGACGCUGAGGUACGAAAGCAUGGGGAGCAAACAGGAUUAGAUACCCUGGUAGUCCAUGCCGUAAACGAUGUCUACUAGCCGUUGGGGCCUUUGAGGCUUUAGUGGCGCAGCUAACGCGAUAAGUAGACCGCCUGGGGAGUACGGUCGCAAGACUAAAACUCAAAUGAAUUGACGGGGGCCCGCACAAGCGGUGGAGCAUGUGGUUUAAUUCGAUGCAACGCGAAGAACCUUACCUGGCCUUGACAUACUAGAAACUUUCCAGAGAUGGAUUGGUGCCUUCGGGAAUCUAGAUACAGGUGCUGCAUGGCUGUCGUCAGCUCGUGUCGUGAGAUGUUGGGUUAAGUCCCGCAACGAGCGCAACCCUUUUCCUUACUUGCCAGCAUUUCGGAUGGGAACUUUAAG